This is a small nuclear RNA of Gallus gallus (chicken), 103 nucleotides long. Lineage: Eukaryota; Metazoa; Chordata; Aves; Galliformes; Phasianidae. The record is from Ensembl.
CUUCUGCAGAAGAUGUGGUAUUGCAGUUGGAACGAUUCAGAGAAGAUUAGGAUGACCCCUGUGCAAGGGUGAAUUUUUUUAAUGGAAUUUUUAGCAACUUGAA